CCUACGGGGGGCUGCAGUCGAGAAUCAUUCACAAUGGGGGAAACCCUGAUGGUGCGACGCCGCGUGGGGGAAUGAAGGUCUUCGGAUUGUAAACCCCUGUCAUGUGGGAGCAAAUUAAAAAGAUAGUACCACAAGAGGAAGAGACGGCUAACUCUGUGCCAGCAGCCGCGGUAAUACAGAGGUCUCAAGCGUUGUUCGGAAUCACGGGGCGUAAAGCGUGCGGAGGCUGUUUCGUAAGUCGUGUGUGAAAGGCGCGGGCUCAACCCGCGGACGGCACAUGAUACUGCGAGACUAGAGUAAUGGAGGGGGAACCGGAAUUCUCGGUGUAGCAGUGAAAUGCGUAGAUAUCGAGAGGAACACUCGUGGCGAAGGCGGGUUCCUGGACAUUAACUGACGCUGAGGCACGAAGGCCAGGGGAGCGAACAGGAUUAGAUACCCCUGUAGUC
This 446-nucleotide ribosomal RNA is filed under the name uncultured bacterium. RNAcentral describes it as "partial 16S ribosomal RNA". It matches the Rfam family "Bacterial small subunit ribosomal RNA", at positions 338 to 795 of the family's 1533-position model. The record is from RNAcentral.